CUUCUCUCUAUAUCUCUCUUAUCUGCAUAUUCUCUUUUCAAGUUUGUGUUCUCUCUUCAGUGAGGAGAUCGGGGAGAGAGGGAUUAAGCGAGGGGUUGCCAGACGACUUUGGUGCGCCUCUCAAUGACUGAUCACAGCGACGGAUAUGGGCGACUUUCAGGUGGCUGGGCAGGACUACCCUGGGUGACCUUGCUCGUUAUAAAUGAUUAUAUGGGGAGGGUGACUCCAAAAGCACAGAGUAUACGGCAGCGUCAAGGUACAACUUGUAAGCUGCAUCUCUUUGGCCAUCAAGUGGGAAUCCCCAUUAUCAGCUUGCUAUCUUGGCUUCAUAUUCGGGGAUGAGCUGGUGGCUGUGUAUCGAUAUUUUCGAAGUCUGGCAGUAGAUAGUCCAUCUUCAACCAUGAGUUGGCCAGGAUUUUGAAAUUAACGACACAAGAUAUUGAUGGGCACUAGGAGCAGGAGUGAUUAUCGCGUUGCAGACCAGCUGGCGUCUGAGGAGAAGAUACAGUAGGAUCCCAAGAUCUUGAUGAUCAUUUUGUGUGCUCUUGAUUGAAAUCGUACGAUCAUUGUUCACGAAUGUGGCCAGACUUGUAUAGUAUCCUCAUGUUUCUUCACUGCAGCAUUACAUAUAGGGAGAUGUUUUUCUUGGGUUGCGAGCAAACUAGCUGGCCAUUAAAGCAUGGUAUAUCUACGAGACACAACAACACUACCAAUGUGGUUUUUUUUUGUUUUUUUUCUUCGAGACCACCCUUAUCAACACUUACAUGAACCUGCUCUAUCUAAUAGCCAAGAAAGCAGUACGGAAC
RNA transcript from Juglans regia (Persian walnut), 806 nucleotides. RefSeq lists it as uncharacterized. The record is from RefSeq and is a predicted model, not a curated record. The transcript is spliced from 4 exons. Lineage: Eukaryota; Viridiplantae; Streptophyta; Magnoliopsida; Fagales; Juglandaceae.